Non-coding RNA from Triticum urartu, 2668 nucleotides. Lineage: Eukaryota; Viridiplantae; Streptophyta; Magnoliopsida; Poales; Poaceae. The record is from RefSeq and is a predicted model, not a curated record.
UCUUGCAGUAUGACAUUUGGUAACUGUUUUCUCCUGCGACCUGCAUUCUUUACAAUGAUAUGUUCGGUCAUAAUGCGUCGCAGGUCUUGGGGUACUCCAACCAGGGAAGAGAUCAAGUGCAUGAAUCCAACCCACACGGAGUUCAAGUUCCCACAGAUUAAGGCUCGCCCGUGUCACAAGGAGACCGAGCCAGAUGUGGUUGCAGAUUCUGGUGCUGAAUAUGGUCACAUAUUUGCAAGCACAAUCCGUGGCCAAAAUGGUCUGCCUAAACAGGUAAAGGCAACUGGCAAAGACAGAGUUAUUGUUUCUGCCGGUACUGCUGGCCUUCUGUGGACUACUUGGAAAACAAGAAAUCGAUCUUGUUUCCAAGGUGUAUUCCAUGGAGAUCCUACUUAUGUUUUUUUGUGCUCUCUGCUGGAUUUGUGGCCUGUCCUGUAAAAAAGAGGGGUGCAGGUGCCAAACAUGCCGCAUCAGGUGUCUAGGAAGCUUAACCAAGUCAAGUGAGAGCUGAAUAUCUCCUACAUUUUCUCAAGAUAUUACAUAGCACCAGAACAAAUUUGGUGCAACUGAAUAUACCGCUGCCAUUUGAUUUGUUGUGGUUUUCUUCACGGCAGACUGAAUAUCUGCUGUGUCAUGGCAGAGCUGCUUCUCGGACAGCCUCUUUUUCCUGGAGAAAGUGGAGUUGAUCAGCCGGUUGAGCUUAUCAAGGUCUUGGGUACUCCAACAAGGGAAGAGAUCAAGUGCAUGAAUACAAACUACACGAAGUUCAAGUUCUCCCGAACUAAGACUCGUCCGUGGCACAAGGUAAUGUGCAUGUAUUGUGUUUGUCAUGCAAAAUUGCCUGGUCUGCACAAUUGCUGUUCUAGUUGGCGCAUACUUUCGGAACAGGGAGAGCUUUACCGUUGACUAGGGUGCUGAUAAACUGCGAGAAAAUUCUCGAAACAGGCUUUCGCCCCACUUUAUAUAUAAAACAACAACACGGUACAAUACAUGGCCGAACGAUACAAUGUGGUGAGAAGGCCCUCUUACAAAGCAGAUAGAAAGAUAUAACAAGAAGCCUAUAGCUAGCCUAACGCCUCACCUAGGACCGACCGACGACAUCAAAACUCCAUGGCAACACCCCCAGGAGGGUGACGGCGCAAUGCGUUGGCGCUGCCGAGUCUGAGUACAAACAAGGGUUUUCACCCGGAGGCCUGGCACAUGAACAAGACCCACGACUACGUCUUCAAGAAGAUAACGACACCGGCGGGCGCCGCCGGUGCUGGCGCCAAGUGCGAAGCUUUCGUUCAGGAACUCGCCAAUCUCACUAGGAGGUGCCCUGGUCACCACCACAACGAGAGUCAGGCCAACCCCACCAGAUUUGGGCACCAACAGAGGAGGCUAGAGCCUUCUGCCACCCUUGCCGCCCACACGGCCAAGAGGUGAAGGCAUCACUGCCACCAUGGAGCCUGCCGGAAAGCCCACCGUGGAUCCCGCCAACCGGGGCCGCUGCCCCGACAUCCUCAGACAACUCAACACCGACGCCAAAACACGUGUCCGCCACCCCAACCAAGCCACGAGCCUCCACCUCGACAUGGACAGAGAGGGCCCGGAGCACGCGCAGGAGAGCAACCAGCCCUAGCAGAAGGACCAAGUUCAACCGCUGCUCCGGCGGCCAACCGCGUCACUUGCCAAUUGCCAACUACUCCCUCCGUUUCAAAUUACUCGUCACAGAAAUGAAUGUAUCUAAAACUAAAAUACAUCUAGAUACAUCCAUUUCUGCGACAAGUAAUUUGAAACGGAGGGAGUAGUACUACCGGGAGAGGAGGGCGUCUUCCCAUUAGAAAUGGACACUCUAGAUCCAGACAGGGGGGGGGGCAUGGCAACCGGCACCUCCGGCUGCCAAGCACCCAAUUCCAUCGGAUCCCCGUGACUCGCUCCGCGCCCUUUGCACCACCGCUCCAAUCUACAACAACCUGUCGCCACGCGCCUGCAGUCGAAGAUCGUCACCGCUACCCGAUGUCACCGGGCAGGCACCCCCACCCCCACCCCCACCCUGGAGGGAGCAUGGAGGAGGCCGCCGACCUUGAGAAAAUCAAGGCUCAUCAAUUUAGAGUUUCUCAGUUUUUUUAGUAGACGAGUUUCUCAGAUAAUCCGGCCAAAAAAAGCAUUCCUCAAAUACUUUUGACAAAAAGGAAAAUAAGUUACAACGAAUGAUGCAACGAAAAGGAAACGAAAAAGCCACACGAGAUAGAUGUUUCUCAGAUGGGCCAGACUCUGUGUAUCCAGCAGGCAGGAGCCCAACCUCACGGGCCAGCAGCCCAGCACCCACGAGUCAGCCCUUCUAAGCUCCCAUCGAGGGCGUUGCUGCGCAGCUGCACGCUUAACAUUAGUCCCACCUCGCCAGUUUGCGGGGAGCGGAACCAGCUUAUAAGCCGAGGCGCGGCACAAGGUAGCACGACCUUACUUGAACAGGAUCUGUUCUAUAGGCUCGUACCGCUGCAUCCUUUACCAAUAAGGAGGCAAGCACUUCAGUCUGGUUGAUGUAUUCUGACCUCUGGGCCAGAGAGUGAUUAACGGCCAGGAUUCUCUGAUGGGGCAAUCCGACGGCUAUAGAGGAUCGUUCCUGUCAGGCUCACACCUGUGCAGGGGGUGGCCCAGAGGUUGUCUGACAGACUACAAAUCUUUU